CCUACGGGAGGCAGCAGUGGGGAAUAUUGCACAAUGGGGGAAACCCUGAUGCAGCGACGCCGCGUGAGUGAAGAAGUAUCUCGGUACGUAAAGCUCUAUCAGCAGGGAAGAAAAUGACGGUACCUGACUAAGAAGCCCCGGCUAACUCCGUGCCAGCAGCCGCGGUAAUACGUAGGGGGCGAGGGUUAUCCGGAUUUACUGGGUGUAAAGGGAGCGUAGACGGCAGCACAAGUCUGGAGUGAAAGCCCGGGGCUUAACCCCGGAACUGCUUUGGAAACUGUGCGGCUGGAGUGCAGGAGGGGUAAGCGGAAUUCCUAGUGUAGCGGUGAAAUGCGUAGAUAUUAGGAGGAACACCGGUGGCGAAGGCGGCUUACUGGACUGUAACUGACGUUGAGGCGCGAAAGCGUGGGGAGCAAACAGGAUUAGAUACCCGGGUAGUC
RNAcentral lists this ribosomal RNA (440 nucleotides) under uncultured bacterium. Its description in RNAcentral is "partial 16S ribosomal RNA". It matches the Rfam family "Bacterial small subunit ribosomal RNA", at positions 338 to 795 of the family's 1533-position model. The record is from RNAcentral.